Long non-coding RNA from Hydractinia symbiolongicarpus, 541 nucleotides. RefSeq lists it as uncharacterized. The record is from RefSeq and is a predicted model, not a curated record. Lineage: Eukaryota; Metazoa; Cnidaria; Hydrozoa; Anthoathecata; Hydractiniidae. The transcript is spliced from 2 exons.
UUGACACUUCAUAUAUCAUGAUUUUACACUCAUUGUGAAAACAUUCGGGUUGAGGUACUGUAGGGUUUAAAAAAUAGUGGCGACAACGAAAAUGAGUUGUUGAAAAGAUGCGAAGAAGAAGUCGGCAUACUCAAAAAAGAAAUGUCUAGCUACUGGCUUUUUUACAGUAUAAUUGGAAAAUGAGAUAGAUGUCAAUAGCUUCAACUUUUAUGCGAAUGAGUGCUUACCAAUGGCGAAAAGGUUAAUCCUGAAGAGAGGCAUGUUUCCCUGUCCGGCUCAGACAGUGACCCGGAAUAAUGUAGCUGUUAUCGUCUGUAUUUAUUAUUUGAACUACCAUAGCUCUUUUCCGGGAUUACAUAUUUUUUUAAGAUUUCGUAUCGUAUCCGAAUUCUUGUUUAAACGGGCUUUUUCCUCCUUCGUUUUCCUUCUUAUCCUUCUCACUCAUUUCACACAGUAUGUUCUAUUGUUUGUAAUCUCUUUAAUAAUAGCCGUCGUCUGUCUGUCUGUGUGUCCGCGAAUACCGUGUCCCGUAACGGAAACA